UACGGGGGAUGCAAGCGUUGUCCGGAAUCAUUGGGCGUAAAGAGUUCGUAGGUGGCACGUUAAGUCUGGUGUUAAAUGCAAAGGCUCAACCUUUGUUCGGCACUGGAUACUGGCGAGCUUGAAUGCGGUAGAGGUAAAGGGAAUUCCUGGUGUAGCGGUGAAAUGCGUAGAUAUCAGGAGGAACAUCGGUGGCGUAAGCGCUUUACUGGGCCGUAAUUGACACUGAGGAACGAAAGCCGGGGUAGCAAAU
Molecule: ribosomal RNA, 250 nt
Filed under: uncultured prokaryote
Description: partial 16S ribosomal RNA
Rfam family: Bacterial small subunit ribosomal RNA
Source: RNAcentral